GAUGAACGCUGGCGGCGUGCCUAAUACAUGCAAGUCGAGCGAACAGACGAGGAGCUUGCUCCUCUGACGUUAGCGGCGGACGGGUGAGUAACACGUGGAUAACCUACCUAUAAAACUGGGAUAACUUCGGGAAACCGGAGCUAAUACCGGAUAAUAUAUUGAACCGCAUGGUUCAAUAGUGAAAGACGGUUUUGCUGUCACUUAUAGAUGGAUCCGCGCCGCAUUAGCUAGUUGGUAAGGUAACGGCUUACCAAGGCAACGAUGCGUAGCCGACCUGAGAGAGGAAUAGGCGACGCUGGAAGUGAGACACGGUCCAGACUCCUACGGGAGGCAGCAGUAGGGAAUCUUCCGCAAUGGGCGAGAGCCUGACGGAGCAACGCCGCGUGAGUGAUGAAGGUCUUCGGAUCGUAAAACUCUGUUAUUAGGGAAGAACAAAUGUGUAAGUAACUAUGCACGUCUUGACGGUACCUAAUCAGAAAGCCACGGCUAACUACGUG
Molecule: ribosomal RNA, 497 nt
Filed under: uncultured bacterium
Lineage: Bacteria
Description: partial 16S ribosomal RNA
Rfam family: Bacterial small subunit ribosomal RNA
Source: RNAcentral